UCUUAUUUUGAUCAAAACGUAAAGUCACAUGUUUGUACACAGUUGUUCCCUCUCCAUCACAUUUACCUCUCCCCAGGGGCAACCACUGCUAUCUACCUCUUUUAGCUGAUGGUUCAGGGUUUACCGUCAUGUCUCUAAGCAAGCCCUUGUUACUUCCUGAAGUUGUUUUGUUUGGUUUCCAUUUUAGGUACUAUUCAUUGACUCCCCUGGGGGAAGACAGAGUUUGCCUUUCCUCCUCACUCCCAGGCUCCCUUCCCAUCCCCAUCCCUCCACCCUCCCACUAGAGUCAUUGGGUUAAGGGAAGUGCUAUCCAAACUGAAGGAGGCCUACUUCCCACCUACUCCAACCCCUCUCCUCCCUCCUAGCACUGCACAGAAUCCAACUGCUCCACCUCUAAGUUCUCUUUGUAUCCCAGACCUCCCCUUCACCCUGCAGCCUGAUGCAGUGACAGGAAAGAGGACUGGAGAGUUGGAGAGCUGGCUUUCAUUCCCACCUCCACUGUGCAUGUUUUCAAUGUCUCAUUCUUCUCAUCUACUAAAUGAGUACAGUAGUUGAGAAUUAAAUCGGUCUGUGGGUAUGAAAAUAGCCUGGCCAGCAGCUAGGUAAAUGUGAGUUCUCCACCCCUCCCCAGAAACUAUGGUCCCCCUUCCCAGCUCUUCCGGAAGUCCAGCCUCUAUCUAAUGAGGCUGAAGUUUGCCCUCUCCCACCCACAACUUGCUCCCACCUAAGGGGGGAUAUGGUUCAGAUAAAAGACUAAAGGAACACAGAGAAGACAAUUCAGGCUGGAGAGAUUAUAAGAAGGCUUCGUGGAGAAAGGGACUUGUGACCCAGGCCUUGAAGGACAGGGAGGACGGAGAUUAAGAAGAAAAGACAUUCCAGGGGGAGGGGACGCAUAGGCAAAGGGCAGGCAAACAUAACCAUAUCCAGUGAAUUACCAGGGGUCCAGUAUGAAACACAGGGAGCAAGAGCAGAGGAGGCUGCAGAGGGCAGCAGGGGUCACCGAGGCCUGUGUGCCACACUGAAGAGUCUGAACUUUGUCUCGGUGUCUGUGGGGGGCCCCAGAGGGAUACCUGAGUUCUCCGGGCUCCAAGUCCAGGCCUGGGCCUGCCCAGCCUGCAGUGGGCCAGCUCUGGCCUAAAUUCAGAGAGCUCUCCCUUCCCCCUAGCCAUUUGGAGGAUGAUAUUAUAAAAAACCCCACAGCUCCCAUAGGCUCUUAAUGGAAGCAUAAACCAGUUUCACCUCUCUAGAUAAAAAAUUUAUCCAAACUCAAAACACACAACGCAACAACAGUUCCACUUUCUACAGAAUUACUUACCAACAAACACAAAAAUAUAUGUGCAAGGAUGUUCACUGAAGCAUUGUUUGAAGAAAACUGGAAAGGACCCAAAAGUCCUGGUUAAAUAAAUGAUGGAGCCACCAUUACAAUAGACACUAUGCAGCUGUGAAAAAAGAAUGAGCUACGUCUGAUUGUGCCUGGCAUAUAGUAGGCACUCAAUAAACACAGGGAGAUCUCCAAGUGCAGAAAGCAAUUGCACAACAAUGGCUAUAGUAUAUCUCCUCUUCUCCUUUUUACAAUGGUGCCUGUUUUUGCAUAUACCCUUAAAAAAUCAGAGGGUAAGCACCAAACUGUUAAGGCCGUUUGCUGGAAAGGGAAGAAGGAGGAGAAUUUCAUCCUCAAACAUUGCCGUGGCUGCCUGAGGCUGGAGGAAGUGCCUAGAUCACUGCAGUUGGCAUGAGGGAACUUUUCGGGGUGAUAAAAAUAUUCUAAUACUAGAUUAUGGUGAAGAUUAUAUAACCAAUUAAAUCUACUAAAAUUCAUAGAACUAUAGGUAUACUUAGUGUGUGAAUCACUAUGAUAUGUAAAUUAUACCUUAAUAUACUAGCCGAAAAAAUUGUAAAAGCAUUGCCGUAGCAUUUGAAACUUUACAAGUGUAUAUCCAAUAUAGUUUUGUUCUUUUAUAAAACACAAAUCCAGAAACAAUCCCUUUUAAAAUAUGCUUAUAGUGAUGCCUGCUCAUUAGACAAUUUGGAAAAUUCAAACAAGUAGGAAGAAAUUUUCUUAGCUGCCCAGCCCCCAGACUGAACCUGGGCCAGCAACUGCCCAGCUGAGGGGCCCCUUCCAGAGCAGUGUGACUCUGACCUGCAUAGUUGGUGAUUAAUAGAGGGGCUGCUGUGGCUUGACCUUGGCCCCAGAGGCCACUGGCCAUCAACCCAGGGACCACGUUAAUGAUCACAAAGGGCCUGCAGCUUUGCCUGCCAUAUAGCUCUGGAGCCCAGGCCCUUGGCACAGGAGAGCUGGUGAACAGACCCCACCCUUGCCCUCUGGGAGCCCUCACUACAGACCCUGGAGCCCUUGCUACAGGGCACUGAUGAGUGGAGACCAUGAUGCGGGCAACAUUGUCUUACUCUGCUUCCAGCCUGGAAGAAGAUGUAUGAGUUCAAGGGAAUGGGGGAAUUCAGGUACAAGAGAAGGACCCCUAGGUGGAAAGGAAGAGGCCCGAGUGCUAGGGCUGGCUCUGACACUGACUUCCUGGUGACCUUGGGCAAGUCACUGUACCUUUCUGGGUUUCAGUGUCUUCAUAUGCAAAAUACAGGGUAGGGCCUGAUGCUCUGACUCGAAGCCUCUUUCCUAGCCCAAGCAGUACCAGAUACUGGUUGUACAACCAAAUCCAGGACCUACAAGUCUCUGAGCUUCAGGGUUCCAUCUGUAAAAUGGGUACAUUCGGCCAGGUCACCUCUGCAGGCCGUUCUGGAUCAGACAGUCCACAGCCCCUGACUUGAGGAAGGAGGCACUGCAGUCACUGAUAGCAGCAUGCCACCUCACCUCUGGGCCCAGCCUGGGAAACUGAGACUCAGGGAGGUUCAAGUCACUCAACUGGAAAGAGGUGUUGCCAAGAUUCAAACACAAGUCUGACUGGCUUCAGAGCCCAGGCUCUGUCUGCGGAGACCAAGCAGGAGCUCCUAGCACCACCUGACCUGGGCAGGGAGCAGCAGUGCCCUUUCCAGGUAACAGGCUAAAUCAAUCAAGCCCAAGUCAAGCCUGGCAGCCAGGAGUCUCCGGAGCAGCUGUCCCCACGACACUUCCCAGGCCAGGGCAGGAGGUGACACCGGGAAAGCCCUCUAGCCUUUCACACACCUGAUGUGACUGCCCAGGCCAAAGGCCUGGAAGAUCCCCAGGCUGUGGCCAUUUAGUGCAGGACUGGCUGUGGCACCUGCCCUCUGAGCCACAUGGCACUCAGGUCUGGCAUGGUUUCUUUGAUUUGGAGGCAGCCCUUCUGCUACCAACUCAGUACAUGAGCAUGUCCUGGUCUCUGCUUCUGUGCACCUCGGAGAUCUCCUUGACCUCUGAUCUCGGCUAUUCCUGGAUCCUGCCCAGCUCCAGGCACACAGUAGGCAGAUUCUCUGUGUCUGCCACAGGAUGGGGGCUGUACAGCCCAUGUCCCCCUGGGGGACCCCUCCCUCCCCUGUAGUUGACCCAGGACCUCCACAACACAACCAGCUCUGGGCCCUCCUUUCCUCUGUAACCUUGGUCUCUGUAUGUCUGCGGGACCCCCUACCAGAGACCAGAGGAGGUGGCCUCCCCCGCCCCUUCCAUCCCCAGCCACAGUGUACAAAAAGGCCUUGGCUGGGCCUGGAAGACACCACCCUGUUCUUUUCUCUUCACUCCAAACACUGUUGUUCUUGAUUUUCCAGGCAGCCAGCCACUCAUGGAAAGCCCUCUCUUGGAGUCUAUUUACUUUUUGGCUCACUGCUGUUCUCUGGGUCCUCCUAGGAGCACCCGCCCUUCUGACCAGGGAUUUUGCUAAUUGGGACAAUGGUCAGUAAACAGAGAAGCCAGUUAUGAAACCCAGUGGAACUGAACAGGGCCUGGAAAAGUUCCGGCAAGCCCUGUGGACAGGUUUGCGAAUCUGGACUCAGCUUCUGCAAUCCAGACCUCAGUUUCCUCAUCUCUAAAAGGGGGAGAAUGGUACCUAGAGCAUGGAGCAGUGAGGAAGCCCAGGAUGUGACGCACAGGAGCUCGCCAAAAAGAGAUAAUGAGCUGCCCAGUGGUGAUGAGGUUGAGGGGACAUAGGUGACAGGAAAAUCGGCCCAUGUCCAAGAACCCUUCAGGCCCUGGGACUCAAGGAUGCUAAAAGACACACAGCAAAAAGCAAACAAGUUUGUGCAUCUGGCCAGGGUCCCCUCCUGCCUGCCUAGGGAUCAGAUUCAUCCUUCACUGGGAUCUACCAGGAAUGCUGGAAGCUUCCCCAGGCCAACCACCUUCCCGAUGGGGACAAUGAAUGAUGCAGCACAUCAGAUGAUGGUGCCACAUCCCUCCUGCUGCUGGCUUCAAACAAAGCCCUUCUGUGUCCCCAAGCCUCCCAUACCAACUAUGGCCAAGAUUUCCUCCUUGCUGGGCUCUGGCAGGAAGUGUGAGCCCAUUGUCUGGAUGUGGAAAAUCGGGGUCAAAGUGCCUUUCUUGAAGGCUAGUUGAGACGAUUAAAUGAGACCAUAAAUGUGAGGGAUCCGUGGACCAUGCCCCGCAAAGGCACUCUGCAGGGAGAACUCCCUGAGAAAGACAAAAGGGGGCAGGUGCGGGGAAGAGGGAAAAGACAAUGGGAUCCAGGAGUGCCUGCGGAGUCUCUGUGGGCUGGAGAUACCAAAAAUGACCAACAGGGUGAGGACAAGUGACCUUCCAACCUAAGGAAUAUGAGGCAAUGUACAGGGAUGAAUCUGGACAGAGCCCAAAUCCCUACCACCAGGGAACUUGAGCCAGUGGCACCUUCUGCGGCACUUCAAUUUCCUCCUCUGUAAAAUGAGGUGAAGAUGCCAACCUGGUGGGGUGUCUGGUAGGACUGAAGGAGCCCUGGCACUGUGUUUGGCACACAGCAGGUGCUCAGUAAGCAUAACAUCCAAAGAUGACCUACAGCAUGUGUCCAGACCCUAUACACACAUACAGCUCACUGGCCCCUAUACCUGCCCUAUACCUACCUCAUACCUAGCCCUCUACCUCUGUGUCUUUGCAUACAAAGCAAGGGAGACAGGGAGGGUUCCAAACAAGGCUGGUACCAGGGAUGGGGAUGCAUCUCAGGAGAGGGCCUCAAGCCAACACCUACAGAGCCAGCCUUGCUACCCAAUCCCCUCCAUGAGACUCCUAAUGACACCCCCUCCCCUCCUCUCUGACUUUGCCUGUUCUGCCUCACC
Molecule: long non-coding RNA, 5184 nt
Filed under: Homo sapiens (human)
Lineage: Eukaryota; Metazoa; Chordata; Mammalia; Primates; Hominidae
Description: HSALNT0354732
Source: RNAcentral